UACGUAGGGGGCAAGCGUUGUCCGGAUUUAUUGGGCGUAAAGAGCGUGUAGGCGGCCAUGUAGGUCCGUUGUGAAAACUCGAGGCUCAACCUCGAGACGCCGAUGGAAACCAUAUGGCUAGAGUCCGGAAGAGGAGAGUGGAAUUCCUGGUGUAGCGGUGAAAUGCGCAGAUAUCAGGAAGAACACCCGUGGCGAAGGCGGCUCUCUGGGACGGUACUGACGCUGAGACGCGAAAGCGUGGGGAGCGAACAGG
Molecule: ribosomal RNA, 253 nt
Filed under: uncultured bacterium
Lineage: Bacteria
Description: partial 16S ribosomal RNA
Rfam family: Bacterial small subunit ribosomal RNA
Source: RNAcentral